Molecule: long non-coding RNA, 798 nt
Organism: Anthonomus grandis grandis
Lineage: Eukaryota; Metazoa; Arthropoda; Insecta; Coleoptera; Curculionidae
Exons: 2
Source: RefSeq, a predicted model, not a curated record
UCCUCAGCGAGGUCAUCAUGCGAAUUUAACGAUUUUUUUUUAAAGCAACAUCUGUUUUAUGUGAAGUACAGUGUUAUCGGAAAAAUGGUGUCAAAAAUUUAUAUAUUUCUGGAACGUGUCUAAGAGAGAAAAGAGUCUAUACGGUUUCGGAUACAAACAUGAUAGAAAUAUAAAAACUAAAUAUUAUUUUUUAAAGUUGUGUAAUUUCAGUUUUUUACUUGGAGGACGAAGUAUCAUGCCAAUUAAUAUAGUAAAAAAUGUAUAUACAUCUCGGUUAAAUCUGCACAAAUGUUAUUUUAAACAAAAACAAGACUCUUACAGGACCUUGAUUUAAAAAUAACCUCUUAUAUAUAUCAAAUUCUGAAACAUUUAUCAAUAAUAAUGAUAUUUAUGAAUAAUUCAUCAUUAUUUUGACGUCUUUUCUCGCAUAUAAAAAGAGCAUAACUAUUAAAUCGUUAAGCUGAUCAGUUAAAAUAAACUAUAAUGGCACGAGCUAUUCUAUUUUCAUGUAUCUCUGCAUUGUUAUUAAUUAGUUCUGUUUUUGCCCAAGAAUGCACCGAAGAUCGUUGCGAUAAUUGUCCAGUCUUCAGGUGCGUCAGUGGAUCUAUUUUGGUUCCAAAUAGGAUUUGUGGAUGUUGUCCAGGUUGUGUUUUACCACGAGCUGCAGAUUUGUGCUAUGCCUCAACUCAUGGUAACUCUCCGACUUGCGGAGGAAGCCUUAAGUGCUGCAAAGGAAUAUGCAAAAAUGAAUGUUAAAAAGAAUUUGUAAUUGUUAAUAAAAAAUUACUUAUAAAGAAA